GACGAACGCUGGCGGCGUGCUUAACACAUGCCAGUCGAACGGAAAGGCCCUGCUUUUGUGGGGUGCUCGAGUGGCGAACGGGUGAGUAACACGUGAGUAACCUGCCCUUGACUUUGGGAUAACUUCAGGAAACUGGGGCUAAUACCGGAUAGGAGCUCCUGCUGCAUGGUGGGGGUUGGAAAGUUUCGGCGGUUGGGGAUGGACUCGCGGCUUAUCAGCUUGUUGGUGGGGUAGUGGCUUACCAAGGCUUUGACGGGUAGCCGACCUGAGAGGGUGACCGGCUACAUUGGGACUGAGAUACGGCCCAGACUCCUACGGGAGGCAGCAGUGGGGAAUAUUGCACAAUGGGCGGAAGCCUGAUGCAGCAACGCCGCGUGCGGGAUGACGGCCUUCGGGUUGUAAACCGCUUUCGCCUGUGACGAAGCGUGAGUGACGGUAAUGGGUAAAGAAGCACCGGCUAACUACGUG
Molecule: ribosomal RNA, 468 nt
Filed under: uncultured bacterium
Lineage: Bacteria
Description: partial 16S ribosomal RNA
Rfam family: Bacterial small subunit ribosomal RNA
Source: RNAcentral